CGAACGAACGCUGGCGGCAGGCCUAACACAUGCAAGUCGAGCGCCCGCAAGGGGAACGACGGACGGGUGAGUAACGCGUGGGAACGUGCCCUUUGCUACGGAAUAGCCUCGGGAAACUGGGAGUAAUACCGUAUGUGCCCUUCGGGGGAAAGAUUUAUCGGCAAAGGAUCGGCCCGCGUUGGAUUAGGUAGUUGGUGGGGUAAUGGCCUACCAAGCCGACGAUCCAUAGCUGGUUUGAGAGGAUGAUCAGCCACACUGGGACUGAGACACGGCCCAGACUCCUACGGGAGGCAGCAGUGGGGAAUCUUAGACAAUGGGCGCAAGCCUGAUCUAGCCAUGCCGCGUGAGCGAUGAAGGCCUUAGGGUUGUAAAGCUCUUUCGUGGGGGAAGAUAAUGACUGUACCCCAAGAAGAAGCCCCGGCUAACUCCGUG
Molecule: ribosomal RNA, 432 nt
Filed under: uncultured bacterium
Lineage: Bacteria
Description: bacterial SSU rRNA
Rfam family: Bacterial small subunit ribosomal RNA
Source: RNAcentral